AUACGUAGGGUGCAAGCGUUAAUCGGAAUUACUGGGCGUAAAGCGUGCGCAGGCGGUUUUGUAAGACAGAGGUGAAAUCCCCGGGCUCAACCUGGGAACUUCCUUUGUGAAUGCAAGGCUAGAGUACGGCAGAGGGGGAGUGAAUUCCGCGUGUAGCAGUGAAAUGCGUAGAUAUGCGGAGGAACACCGAUGGCGAAGGCAAUCCCCUGGGCCUGUACUGACGCUCAUGCACGAAAGCGUGGGGAGCAAACAGGAUUAGAUACCCUGGUAGUCCACGCCCUAAACGAUGUCAACUGGUUGUUGGGUCUUCAUUGACUCAGUAACGAAGCUAACGCGUGAAGUUGACCGCCUGGGGAGUACGGCCGCAAGGUUGAAACUCAAAUGAAUUGACGGGG
Molecule: ribosomal RNA, 395 nt
Filed under: uncultured bacterium
Lineage: Bacteria
Description: partial 16S ribosomal RNA
Rfam family: Bacterial small subunit ribosomal RNA
Source: RNAcentral